CCCUUAGAUGUUCUAGGCUGCACGCGCGCUACACUGUCGGAUUCAGCGAGUCAUAUCCUUAACCGAAAGGUUUGGGUAAUCUUUUGAAAGUCCGACGUGAUGGGGAUUGAUCAUUGCAAUUAUUGAUCAUGAACGAGGAAUUCCUAGUAAGCGCGAGUCAUCAGCUCGCGUUGAUUACGUCCCUGCCCUUUGUACACACCGCCCGUCGCUACUACCGAUUGAAUGGUUUAGUGAGAUCUUCGGAUUGGCGCCUACGCGGCUUCUCUGAGGCCACGCUGGAUGCCGAAAAGUUGCUCAAACUGUAUCAUUUAGAGGAAGUAAAAGUCGUAACA
This 332-nucleotide ribosomal RNA is filed under the name uncultured eukaryote. Its description in RNAcentral is "partial 18S ribosomal RNA". It matches the Rfam family "Eukaryotic small subunit ribosomal RNA", at positions 1470 to 1796 of the family's 1831-position model. The record is from RNAcentral.